RNA transcript from Peromyscus eremicus (cactus mouse), 1222 nucleotides. It is a transcript of the gene named mediator complex subunit 11, with no coding region annotated. The record is from RefSeq and is a predicted model, not a curated record. NCBI's taxonomy places the organism in Eukaryota, Metazoa, Chordata, Mammalia, Rodentia, Cricetidae. The transcript has 4 exons.
CACAAACAGGCAUUUCCGGGCCUUGGCGCCCCAUCUCGAAAAAGACGGCCUGCGGGACUUUCCCCGGGAACCAUGGCUACCUACAGCCUGGCGAACGAGCGGCUGCGCGCCCUGGAGGACAUCGAGCGCGAAAUCGGCGCCAUCCUCCAGAACGCAGGAACGGCGAUCCUGGAACUGUCCAAGGAAAAAACCAACGAGCGGCUUCUGGACCGGCAGGCGGCAGCCUUCACCGCUUCUGUGCAGCACGUGGAGGCGGAGCUUUCGGCUCAGAUCCGCUACCUAACCCAGGUGGCCACAGGGCAGCCCCACGAGGGCUCCAGCUACUCUUCCAGGAAGGAUUGUCAAAUGGCACUAAAGCGAGUGGACUAUGCCCGCCUCAAGAUCAGUGAUGUGGCACGCACCUGUGAACAGAUGCUGGAGAACUAAGUCAAGAUGAUGCAGAGUGUGACCUGCACCCUGGGACAGAAGCCAGAGACUGGCUCUGGAGUCUUGGUUCACAAGUGUAUAAUGGAGCUGCAGAUCUGGAAAGAAUAAAGAAAUUGGGAGGUGAACUCUGAGAUGAAGCAGAACUGAGGCAGGACAUGAACUGAAUGGAAAGUCAGACUCCUCGACAUUAAAUAACCUAAAGACCUAGUCCAUGCUGGCUGACUUCCCUCCCGGCCCAUGGUGCCGACAGCCUUACUAUCUGGUGGACCCUUGCCAGGAAGGCUCUAGUCCCCGAGGUGAGGUUUAGGAGUCUCACGUACCUGCAGAGCUUUGCCGCCCCGCUCUCCUCCUGUUGCACAGAAUGUACACUAUGGCUGCUGUGAGAAGAAAAACAAUGGCCAGGAGAGACAGCACUGGUGCCGCGGCUGGUAGGCCAGCGGAAGCUCCUGGCGUUCCUUCUUGCAGGUUGCCCUCCGACCGGUUUUUAUUGGCCUCAGCCUCAGGUCCAGCUUCGGGAUCAUAGCCUGACGUGAGAGCCGUGGUUUCAUAGCCUGACGUGAGGGCAGUGGAUUCGCUGUGGUGGGUGAGCUCUUUGUUCAAGGACAGUGUUCCAGGUGGAAAAGUGGACUGCUGGGUACUCUGAAUCGGUGCAGGGGUGCUUGUGUCUGGAGGUGUCCCCUCUGUGGCCACUGGGAUCCAGGUGCUAGCAUGAGGCAAAUGCUCCUGGUGGUGGAAACUCUUCCUGUGACCAUUUCCACACUCUGGAGAAAAAACAAAUAAAGGAUCAGGGCUACUG